CACAAGCGGUGGAGCAUUGUGGUUUAAUUCGAAGCAACGCGAAGAACCUUUACCAGGUCUUGACAUCCCGAUGCUAUUUCUAGAGAUAGAAAGUUACUUCGGUACAUCGGUGACAGGUGGUGCAUGGUUGUCGUCAGCUCGUGUCGUGAGAUGUUGGGUUAAGUCCCGCAACGAGCGCAACCCCUAUUGUUAGUUGCCAUCAUUCAGUUGGGCACUCUAGCGAGACUGCCGGUAAUAAACCGGAGGAAGGUGGGGAUGACGUCAAAUCAUCAUGCCCCUUAUGACCUGGGCUACACACGUGCUACAAUGGUUGGUACAACGAGUUGCGAGUCGGUGACGGCGAGCUAAUCUCUUAAAGCCAAUCUCAGUUCGGAUUGUAGGCUGCAACUCGCCUACAUGAAGUCGGAAUCGCUAGUAAUCGCGGAUCAGCACGCCGCGGUGAAUACGUUCCCGGGCCUU
Molecule: ribosomal RNA, 459 nt
Filed under: uncultured Streptococcus sp.
Lineage: Bacteria; Bacillati; Bacillota; Bacilli; Lactobacillales; Streptococcaceae
Description: bacterial SSU rRNA
Rfam family: Bacterial small subunit ribosomal RNA
Source: RNAcentral